RNAcentral lists this ribosomal RNA (253 nucleotides) under uncultured bacterium. Its description in RNAcentral is "partial 16S ribosomal RNA". It matches the Rfam family "Bacterial small subunit ribosomal RNA", at positions 524 to 776 of the family's 1533-position model. The record is from RNAcentral.
UACGUAGGGUGCGAGCGUUGUCCGGAAUUAUUGGGCGUAAAGAGCUCGUAGGCGGUUUGUCGCGUCGGCCGUGAAAUCUCCACGCUUAACGUGGAGCGUGCGGUCGAUACGGGCAGACUUGAGUUCGGCAGGGGAGACUGGAAUUCCUGGUGUAGCGGUGAAAUGCGCAGAUAUCAGGAGGAACACCGGUGGCGAAGGCGGCAUCCUGGACCGAUAUUGACACUGAUGAGCGAAAGCCAGGGGAGCAAACGGG